Molecule: non-coding RNA, 92 nt
Organism: Caenorhabditis elegans
Lineage: Eukaryota; Metazoa; Nematoda; Chromadorea; Rhabditida; Rhabditidae
Source: Ensembl
GAUAUGAACAGGCAAAUAAGAGAGACAGAUCAGUAGCGAAAAUGACAAAAAGUGUAUUUUCGAAAGUAAAAUAAGACGGGAAAAGUGAGAAA